GUGGGGAAUCUUCCGCAAUGGACGAAAGUCUGACGGAGCAACGCCGCGUGAGUGAAGAAGGUUUUCGGAUCGUAAAGCUCUUUCGUUAGGGACGAACGUGCUCUUUGUAAAUAAUGAGGAGUAAUGACGGUACCUAAAUAAGAAGCCACGGCUAACUACGUGCCAGCAGCCGCGGUAAUACGUAGGUGGCAAGCGUUGUCCGGAAUUAUUGGGCGUAAAGCGCGCGCAGGCGGGAUAUCAAGUCUGUCUUAAAAGUGCGAGGCUCAACCUCGUGAGGGGACAGAAACUGGUAUUCUUGAGUGUCGGAGAGGAAAGUGGAAUUCCAAGUGUAGCGGUGAAAUGCGUAGAGAUUUGGAAGAACACCAGUGGCGAAGGCGACUUUCUGGACGAUGUCUGACGCUGAGGCGCGAAAGCUAGGGGAGCGAACGGGAUUAGAAACCCGGGUAGUCC
This 450-nucleotide ribosomal RNA is filed under the name uncultured bacterium. RNAcentral describes it as "partial 16S ribosomal RNA". It matches the Rfam family "Bacterial small subunit ribosomal RNA", at positions 354 to 796 of the family's 1533-position model. The record is from RNAcentral.